RNAcentral lists this ribosomal RNA (253 nucleotides) under uncultured bacterium. RNAcentral describes it as "partial 16S ribosomal RNA". It matches the Rfam family "Bacterial small subunit ribosomal RNA", at positions 524 to 776 of the family's 1533-position model. The record is from RNAcentral.
UACGGAGGGUGCAAACGUUGCUCGGAAUCAUUGGGCGUAAAGCGCACGUAGGCGGUUCGUUAUGUCGGAUGUGAAAUCCCUCGGCUCAACCGAGGAAGGGCAUCCGAAACUGGCGUGCUUGAGUAUGGAAGAGGGUCUCGGAAUUCCCGGUGUAGAGGUGAAAUUCGUAGAUAUCGGGAGGAACACCGGUGGCGAAGGCGACAUCCUGGACCGGUAUUGACGCUGAGGCGCGAAAGCCAGGGGAGCAAACGGG